Molecule: ribosomal RNA, 565 nt
Filed under: Legionella bononiensis
Lineage: Bacteria; Pseudomonadati; Pseudomonadota; Gammaproteobacteria; Legionellales; Legionellaceae
Description: Legionella sp. 30cs62 partial 23S ribosomal RNA
Rfam family: Bacterial large subunit ribosomal RNA
Source: RNAcentral
GGUCAAGAAGAGAAGCGCAAACGGUGGAUGCCUUGGCAGUAAGAGGCGAUGAAGGACGUGGAAUCCUGCGAAAAGCUACGGGGAGCUGGAAACAAGCUGUGAUCCGUAGAUGUCCGAAUGGGGGAACCCGGCUGUGCUUGCACGGUCACUCAUAACUGAAUACAUAGGUUAUGAGAGCGAACUCGGGGAACUGAAACAUCUAAGUACCCGAAGGAAAAGAAAUCAAUUGAGAUUCUCUAAGUAGCGGCGAGCGAACGGGGAAGAGCCUGGUGUGAUUUAUCAUUGAAUGGAGUAGAACAACCUGGGAAGGUUGACCAUAGGGGGUGAAAGUCCCGUAUACGUAGAUUUGAUGAGGAACUAAGCACGCGAACAAGUAGGGCGGGACACGUGAAAUCCUGUUUGAAGAUGGGUGGACCAUCAUCCAAGGCUAAAUACUACUUACUGACCGAUAGUGAACCAGUACCGUGAGGGAAAGGCGAAAAGAACCCCGGAGAGGGGAGUGAAAUAGAACCUGAAACCGUUUGCGUACAAGCAGUGGGAGCAUGUCUUCGGACGUGUGACUGCG